CUAUUUUUAGCAAUGGCGACCAUGUUUGUUGAUAGAUCAAAACUUCGGAUAUAAUUUAUAAAUUAAAUACCCUAAGAAACAUUCAGUUAAAGUUUGAAAGUAUUUGGCCCAGUAGUUUCAGAGGAGAAGAUUCUUGAAAUAGUUUACGACGACAGACGACGACAGACGACGACAGACGACGGACGACAGACGACGACGGACGCCAAGUGAUGGCAUAAGCUCACUUGUCCCUUCGGGACAGGUGAGCUAAAAAAAGACAUG
This 261-nucleotide long non-coding RNA is filed under the name Mytilus galloprovincialis (Mediterranean mussel). The record is from RNAcentral. Lineage: Eukaryota; Metazoa; Mollusca; Bivalvia; Mytilida; Mytilidae.